Molecule: ribosomal RNA, 484 nt
Filed under: uncultured bacterium
Lineage: Bacteria
Description: partial 16S ribosomal RNA
Rfam family: Bacterial small subunit ribosomal RNA
Source: RNAcentral
AUUGAACGCUGGCGGCAGGCCUAACACAUGCAAGUCGAGCGGAUGAAGGGAGCUUGCUCCUGGAUUCAGCGGCGGACGGGUGAGUAAUGCCUAGGAAUCUGCCUGGUAGUGGGGGAUAACGUCCGGAAACGGGCGCUAAUACCGCAUACGUCCUGAGGGAGAAAGUGGGGGAUCUUCGGACCUCACGCUAUCAGAUGAGCCUAGGUCGGAUUAGCUAGUUGGUGGGGUAAAGGCCUACCAAGGCGACGAUCCGUAACUGGUCUGAGAGGAUGAUCAGCCACACUGGAACUGAGACACGGUCCAGACUCCUACGGGAGGCAGCAGUGGGGAAUAUUGGACAAUGGGCGAAAGCCUGAUCCGGCCAUGCCGCGUGUGUGAAGAAGGUCUUCGGAUUGUAAAGCACUUUAAGUUGGGAGGAAGGGCAGUAAGUUAAUACCUUGCUGUUUUGACGUUACCAACAGAAUAAGCACCGGCUAACUUCGUG